CGCGUAGGCGGCCUGGUAAGUCGGGGGUGAAACGCUGCGGCUCAACCGCAGCACUGCCUUCGAGACUGUCAGGCUUGAGCACGGUAGAGGCUGGUGGAAUUCCCGGUGUAGCGGUGGAAUGCGUAGAGAUCGGGAAGAACAUCGGUGGCGAAGGCGGCCAGCUGGGCCGUUGCUGACGCUGAGGCGCGACAGCGUGGGGAGCAAACAGGAUUAGAUACCCUGGUAGUCCACGCCGUAAACGAUGGGUACUAGGCGUCGGGGGGAGCGACCCUCUCGGUGCCGUCGCUAACGCAGUAAGUACCCCGCCUGGGGAGUACGGUCGCAAGACUGAA
RNAcentral lists this ribosomal RNA (332 nucleotides) under uncultured Gemmatimonas sp. Its description in RNAcentral is "bacterial SSU rRNA". It matches the Rfam family "Bacterial small subunit ribosomal RNA", at positions 568 to 898 of the family's 1533-position model. Lineage: Bacteria; Pseudomonadati; Gemmatimonadota; Gemmatimonadia; Gemmatimonadales; Gemmatimonadaceae. The record is from RNAcentral.